This 540-nucleotide long non-coding RNA is filed under the name Rattus norvegicus (Norway rat). RNAcentral's name for it is "long non-coding RNA NONRATT002047". The record is from RNAcentral. Lineage: Eukaryota; Metazoa; Chordata; Mammalia; Rodentia; Muridae.
CCCAUGGGGGCCUGGCUCGAUUUUCUGUUUUCCCCACACGUGGCUUUCUUAUCCUACUUGACAACACAGAAAAUAUUCAUUUGUGAUCUCGGGGACAUUGCUGACGCUUCUCUUACCCUUGACUCCAGGUGAACAGCCUGCAGACAGUCUGCAUCAAUAUAUACAAGAUCUUCCUGCUUCAGGCCUACAGGUUCCAUGCAUGUGUGAUUCGGCUUCCCUUUGGCCAGCAUGUUAGGAAGAACCAUGCAUUCUUUCUGGGCAUCAUCUCCAACCUAGCAUCCUGCUGCUACGCCAUCCUGAAGGUCAAGAAUCCAGGAGUGUCACUAAGGGCCAAGGGUGCCCCUGGCUCCUUUCCGCCCGAGGCCACACGUUGGCUCUGCUACCAAGCCUUCCUGCUCAAGCUGGCUGCUCAUUCUGUCACCUACAAGUGUCUCCUGGGACCUCUUAGGACAGGUGAGUGAGCUCCGUCCCCUCAGACAGUGAGUGCCCAGGUGAACCCAAAGGCAGACUAUACAUGUGCCCAUCUCCUGGGGAGGGGCC